This 480-nucleotide ribosomal RNA is filed under the name uncultured bacterium. RNAcentral's name for it is "bacterial SSU rRNA". It matches the Rfam family "Bacterial small subunit ribosomal RNA", at positions 29 to 506 of the family's 1533-position model. The record is from RNAcentral.
AUUAACGCUGGCAGAGUGCAUAACACAUGCAAGUCGAGCGGGCUUAUCUGCGAUUACAUCAAGGGUAAGCUAGCGGCAAACGAGUGAGUAACACGUAAGCAACCUACCCUUCAGUGGGGGAUAACGCGCCGAAAGGCGUGCUAAUACCCCGUACUAUCCUUGGACGGCAUCUUCUGAGGAUGAAAGGCUUCGGCCAGUGGAGGAGGGGCUUGCGGCCCAUCAGCUAGUUGGCGGUGUAAUGGACCACCAAGGCUAUGACGGGUACCCGGCCUGAAAGGGCGGACGGGCACGACGGCACUGAGACACGGGCCGUACUCCUACGGGAGGCAGCAGUGGGGAAUUUUGGACAAUGGGCGAAAGCCUGAUCCAGCAACUCUGCGUGAGGGACGAAGGUCUUUGGAUCGUAAACCUCUUUUGUCAGGGACGAAUAGCCCGCAAGGGUCUGACGGUACCUGGCGAAUAAGCCACGGCUAACUAUGU